GGAUCAAUGGGGUCAAGUCUUAUGGGCAGAAAGGGCUUAAAUGAAUAAAUACCGGCGAUGAACCGUCGCCACUCGGAUGUUACGGAGAUAACGCGAUGGUGGUGCCUUAUCUCAGGCUGGCGGGAAGGUAACGAGGUCUUGUUUGGUUGUGAAAAGUCUGAAAUAUUCCUCAAAAAAAUUAUUACGGCUAAAAGUUGCCAAGCGGCGCAGCUUCCUAUUUGCAUUAUUUUCAGAAUAACGGGUGAGGCAGCAAUUAGAAACCUCCAGCCGUGAUCUGGGGGUCUUUACAGAGACGUAUUUACCUUCUCGCUUCUCCUUGAGGGUGUGAGUGAAAAGCCAGUCCGGUUUUGGGAAGCUCGUAACACGGAACUGGAGGUGGAAAUGUCCAGAAAUGGACAAAAGCGGCCGCACAACGACAGCCGUAGAGAGAAGGGCGACCGGCACCACGCGGGUGAGACAGUUGGUGCUACACACCAACGUUUUGCUGAGCUUUAUAAAAACGAGACCGGAGAAGUGCAACUUCCAGGGACGCGAGACAAGGGUGACACCAGGAGACACAUCACGAGCUGGGGGGGGACUAACAACGCCGAGUUUUAAGAUUGUGGUCUUCAGUCGUGCUCUGGUUCCACCCUGCAGACUCUAAGCACCGUGCUCUAAGCCUAGCUACACGAUUUACAGUUCGCUUUAUUUCCAGAAAGUUGAAAUCAUUUUACUUUGAAGAUUUUUUUGGCUCAGGGACCUAAAGGCUCGGUCCCCCCGGCAGCGAGUGACGCAGCCUGCACCGUGUGUGAUGGGAUGGGCUGAAGAGGCUGAACGUGUCCUGUCCCACAUGAAGAGGAGCUUGUGCCGAAGAACAGGCCACAAUCCCAGGGCUGUAUUUUGAAAGCAUUAUAAUCUUUUGUAGAAAAAGUUAUGUUUCCAGCCAAAAGUAUCUUCCAAGUUAAGGGCCGCGUUUGUGAAUGACUUUCAAGAUCCAAAUAACCUAGUGGACGCAACAGGAAAAAAAAUAAAAGGAGAUGAGAAGUGGGUACA
This 1032-nucleotide long non-coding RNA is filed under the name Calidris pugnax (ruff). RNAcentral describes it as "lncRNA (ENSCPUG00000019648.1)". The record is from RNAcentral. Lineage: Eukaryota; Metazoa; Chordata; Aves; Charadriiformes; Scolopacidae.